AAACUUAUUAAAUUAACACUUGAAAAAACAUUUUUAAAAUUAGAUAAAGAAAUGUUAUUAACAGAAAAUCAGGAAAAAUUAAAAAAGUAUAAUGUACCAGCACAAGAAGCUGAAGAAGAACCAGAAACAAGAGAGAACUAUUUAUAUUCUAUUUUAAAUGAUAUUAUAUCUAAAAAUAUUAGUAUUAAAGCUUUAGAAAAAGAUGGAAAAAGAUGUUUACAAGUUGUUUAUAAUAAAGAUGGGACACUUGUAGAAGACGAAGAAAACUCUGUUGAUUCUAUCCAACCAUUACCCGAAGAUAAUGAACAUAAUAAUGAUAAUACAUUAACAGUUGAUUAUAACAAUGAAGGAAUAUUUCGUAUAUUAAAAGAAGAUGAUGAAACAUUACAAAAUGAUAAUAAUGUUAAUACAGAACUAUACAAAAAAGCAGAUUCGGAGGGUAUUAAAAAAAUGGACAGCAACGAUAAUGGUACUAAUAAUACCAGUACUACUAAUAAUGCUAAUACGAGUAAUAGCAAUGAAGAUAGUGAUUACGUAAUAAAAACAUUAAACACGGAUUUCGAACAAUUAAAUGCUAAUAAAAAUUGUGAUAAUGAUACAAAACUAACUGAAAAUGAUAAGAACGAAAAUUCAGUCAUAAUAAAUAAUGAUGGUGAUAAUAGUAACAAUAAUAAUAGUAAUAAUAAUGAUGAUAAUAAUAAUAAUAAUAGUAAUAGUAGUAAUGAUAAUAUAUUAAAUAAUUCGAAUAUUUUAGAAAAGCAACAAAAAAAGACGGAUAAUGAAUUAUCAGCAUCAAACUUAUCUCCUAAAGAUAGUAAAAAUAAAAUAAAAGAUGAAAAGCAAAAUAAAGAACAAUCAGAUUAUUCAAAUAAUGAAAAUAAUACUGAAAUUACGAAUACUAAAAGAUUAAAAAAAGAUGAAAAUGAUGAAUUUGUUAAAGCGGAAAGAGAAGAGUUACAACAAGAGGGAAGAGAAAAAGAAAAAGAAGUAUCUGAUCAUAAAGAUAUAAAAAAAAAUAACUCUGAAGUAACAAAUGACACAAAUAUAACAGAAAAUAGCGAACCAAACAAAUCAGAUGAUAAAGUCGAAUUAACGUAUGAAAAUUUAAAAUGUAUGGAAAAACUAAACGAAGAAGAAGAAAACAAAAAAAAAACCAACAAUAAUAAUAAUAAUAAUAAUAAUAAUGAAACAAAUGAAUAUGAUAAUAACGCAACAAAUAAUAAUUCUAACACGAAUAUAAGUAACUGUAAUUAUAAUGCAUUAAAAUUAUAUGAAAAAGAUAUGAAUGAAGAAGGUUUCUCAUUAAACGAAGUAAUAAAAGAGGUUAUUGAUAAUAAUAUUACUGAUAAUAUAGAAGAUGGUAUUAAUGUUACUAGGAGCAAUACUGAAAACGUUACUAUUACGGAUAGUUCUAAUGUUUAUACUGAAGAAGAUGAUUUGAAUAAUGUUUAUUCACCAGAUGAAUUACGUUUAUAUGAAAAUUAUUACCCAAACAAUUAUGAAGAUAACAUUGCUUAUAGUUGUGGGUCAACAGCUAUAGUAGCAGUCUUGUUAAAAGGAUAUUUAAUUGUUGCAAAU
RNAcentral lists this long non-coding RNA (1578 nucleotides) under Piliocolobus tephrosceles (Ugandan red Colobus). RNAcentral's name for it is "lncRNA (ENSPTEG00000011984.1)". Lineage: Eukaryota; Metazoa; Chordata; Mammalia; Primates; Cercopithecidae. The record is from RNAcentral.